GUGGAACUCUGGCACCUGCACAAGACCGGAGUCCUUCGCCUCGCCACGAGGCUUGCCGAUCCCUCCUGUCACAAGCAACCCAUUACUUCUGGUGUCGUGCUGAUACCUGGGGUGGGUGAGACACCAGAUCUACAAGCUGGCCUGAAGGGAAAGCAGAACUGCAAAGAUAAUGAUAAUCAGAUAUAUGCCUGGCACAGAGCUAGGAGCUGCGCACCGCAACAGGCUGCCAUAUUAAAAAGCCAUCCAGAAUCUUGACAUCUUCUUUGUGAAGUUUUGCAAAUGCAAGGCCUGGCUGCUUGAGAGCAGAAGGUUUGGGAAUAAGGCACCCCGCAAUGUCAUGGUGCCAACAGAUGUGGCUGCAACCUCACACUACGCCAUUCACUCUAAGGGAUCUACGGAUCUUACCAGAAGGAAAGCACAAAUAUCAUUCUGAGUACAAAAUUAGACACACACAUCCUCUAUACCUGAAUGACUAUUUCAAUUUACAGAAUUAUAAAUGAUGCUAAAUCUGAUUCUAAAUAGAGGAAAUGCAAACUUUCAUCAUUAAGCUCUAUAUAUGAACACAAACAUCAAUCUAAAUAGUCAUUCUUAAAAAAUAUAACACAGAAGAAAAAAGCCUCAUUUCUCCACCAUUCAGGAAAAUGUCUGAUUUUAGUGCAAAGAACUUGUCUACAAACAUCUCCCCAUCUUAGAAUCCAUCCAAUACAUCAUAGAAUGGCCUGGGUUGAAAAGGACCACAAUGAUCAUCUAGUUUCAACCCUGCUGCUAUGUGCAUAUAUAUCAUCCAAUGAUGAUGUGUGAUAUAUAUCAUAAAAUAUGCCUGGUUUUUUGUCUCAAAAAAAAAGAAAAAACAAAAAG
Molecule: long non-coding RNA, 858 nt
Organism: Tympanuchus pallidicinctus (lesser prairie-chicken)
Lineage: Eukaryota; Metazoa; Chordata; Aves; Galliformes; Phasianidae
Exons: 2
Source: RefSeq, a predicted model, not a curated record